CUACAGGGUUUUUUAAAAUCCAUAAAGCUUAUCAGAAAAUACAUA
This is a non-coding RNA of Chlamydotis undulata (Houbara bustard), 45 nucleotides long. The record is from Rfam. Lineage: Eukaryota; Metazoa; Chordata; Aves; Otidiformes; Otididae.